Molecule: long non-coding RNA, 226 nt
Filed under: Brassica rapa (field mustard)
Lineage: Eukaryota; Viridiplantae; Streptophyta; Magnoliopsida; Brassicales; Brassicaceae
Description: long non-coding RNA (BRAP_LNC006653)
Source: RNAcentral
GAAAUUCAAAAAGUGGGUCCAAAAAUAACAUUAUAAAACCAGUUGGCCUCAUUACUCCAACAUUUAAGUUCAUAUUCGUGAAUCCAUAUAAUAGAGAAACUAGACACAUACAUGUAUAGAGAUGAUCAAGAUUUUCGGAUCGGCUUCUUGAUGAUGAUGAAUAAAAACCUAUAUACAUGCAAUUGACUUGAUCGUGACGUUGAAUAUAUGAAUAUAUCCCUAUAAG